Molecule: ribosomal RNA, 488 nt
Filed under: uncultured Lachnospiraceae bacterium
Lineage: Bacteria; Bacillati; Bacillota; Clostridia; Lachnospirales; Lachnospiraceae
Description: partial 16S ribosomal RNA
Source: RNAcentral
CACGUAGUUAGCCGGGGCUUCUUAGUCAGGUACCGUCAUUUUCUUCCCUGCUGAUAGAGCUUUACAUACCGAAAUACUUCUUCACUCACGCGGCGUCGCUGCAUCAGGGUUUCCCCCAUUGUGCAAUAUUCCCCACUGCUGCCUCCCGUAGGAGUUUGGGCCGUGUCUCAGUCCCAAUGUGGCCGUCCGCCCUCUCAGGCCGGCUACCGAUCGUCGCUUUGGUGGGCCGUUACCCCGCCAACUGGCUAAUCAGACGCGGAUCCAUCGUAUGCCGAUAAAUCUUUUCACACCGUACCAUGCGGUACUGUGCGCUUAUGCGGUAUUAGCAGCUGUUUCCAACUGUUAUCCCCCUGCAUACGGCAGGUUAUCCACGCGUUACUCACCCGUCCGCCACUAACUCGGAAAUCACUAGGUUUCAAUCCGAGCCCGUUCGACUUGCAUGUGUUAGGCACGCCGCCAGCGUUCAUCCUGAGCCAGGAUCAAACUCU